Molecule: transfer RNA, 74 nt
Filed under: Dethiosulfovibrio peptidovorans DSM 11002
Lineage: Bacteria; Thermotogati; Synergistota; Synergistia; Synergistales; Dethiosulfovibrionaceae
Rfam family: tRNA
About the family: Transfer RNA (tRNA) molecules are approximately 80 nucleotides in length.
Source: Rfam by way of RNAcentral
GGGGUCGUAGCUCAGCUGGUUAGAGUGCCGGCCUGUCACGCCGGAGGUCGCGAGUUCAAGUCUCGUCGGCCCCG